GAUGAACGCUAGCGGCAGGCCUAAUACAUGCAAGUCGAACGAUAGUCUUGUCUUCGGAUGAGAUGAGAGUGGCGCACGGGUGAGUAACGCGUACACGACCUACCUUACAGAGGGGGAUAGCCUUGGGAAACUGGGAGUAAUCCGCCAUAGUGUAUAUGAUCUGCAUGGAUGGUAUACUAAAGCUUCGGCGCUGUAAGAUGGGUGUGCGUCUGAUUAGGUAGUUGGUAGGGUAACGGCCUACCAAGCCAACGAUCAGUAGGGGGCUGAGAGCGUGGUCCCCCACACGGGUACUGAGACGCGGACCCGACUCCUACGGGAGGCAGCAGUAAGGAAUAUUGCUCAAUGGCCGAAAGGCUGAAGCAGCAACGCCGCGUGGAGGAUGAAAUACUUUUGUAUGUAAACUCCUGUAAGAAGGGAAAAUAUUCCGAUUUAUCGGGAUUGAUUGUACCUUCAGAGUAAGCCCCGGCUAACUACGUGCCAGCAGCC
This 486-nucleotide ribosomal RNA is filed under the name uncultured bacterium. RNAcentral's name for it is "bacterial SSU rRNA". It matches the Rfam family "Bacterial small subunit ribosomal RNA", at positions 28 to 516 of the family's 1533-position model. The record is from RNAcentral.